Molecule: ribosomal RNA, 478 nt
Filed under: uncultured bacterium
Lineage: Bacteria
Description: partial 16S ribosomal RNA
Rfam family: Bacterial small subunit ribosomal RNA
Source: RNAcentral
GAUGAACGCUAGCGGGAGGCCUAACACAUGCAAGCCGAGCGGUAUUUGUUCUUCGGAACAGAGAGAGCGGCGCACGGGUGCGGAACACGUGUGCAACCUGCCUUUAUCUGGGGGAUAGCCUUUCGAAAGGAAGAUUAAUACCCCAUAAUAUAUUGAGUGCAACAUUUGAUAAUGAAAACUCCGGUGGAAAGAGAUGGGCACGCGCAAGAUUAGAUAGUUGGUGAGGUAACGGCUCACCAAGUCAAUGAUCUUUAGGGGGCCUGAGAGGGUGAUCCCCCACACUGGUACUGAGACACGGACCAGACUCCUACGGGAGGCAGCAGUGAGGAAUAUUGGACAAUGGGUUAGCGCCUGAUCCAGCCAUCCCGCGUGAAGGACGACGGCCCUAUGGGUUGUAAACUUCUUUUGUAUAGGGAUAAACCUACUCUCGUGAGAGUAGCUGAAGGUACUAUACGAAUAAGCACCGGCUAACUCCGUG